CUGUAAGCCUGUGAAGGUGUGCUGUGAGGCAUGCUGGAGGUAUCAGAAGUGCGAAUGCUGACAUAAGUAACGAUAAAGCGGGUGAAAAGCCCGCUCGCCGGAAGACCAAGGGUUCCUGUCCAACGUUAAUCGGGGCAGGGUGAGUCGACCCCUAAGGCGAGGCCGAAAGGCGUAGUCGAUGGGAAACAGGUUAAUAUUCCUGUACUUGGUGUUACUGCGAAGGGGGGACGGAGAAGGCUAUGUUGGCCGGGCGACGGUUGUCCCGGUUUAAGCGUGUAGGCUGGUUUUCCAGGCAAAUCCGGAAAAUCAAGGCUGAGGCGUGAUGACGAGGCACUACGGUGCUGAAGCAACAAAUGCCCUGCUUCCAGGAAAAGCCUCUAAGCAUCAGGUAACAUCAAAUCGUACCCCAAACCGACACAGGUGGUCAGGUAGAGAAUACCAAGGCGCUUGAGAGAACUCGGGUGAAGGAACUAGGCAAAAUGGUGCCGUAACUUCGGGAGAAGGCACGCUGAUAUGUAGGUGAAGUCCCUCGCGGAUGGAGCUGAAAUCAGUCGAAGAUACCAGCUGGCUGCAACUGUUUAUUAAAAACACAGCACUGUGCAAACACGAAAGUGGACGUAUACGGUGUGACGCCUGCCCGGUGCCGGAAGGUUAAUUGAUGGGGUCAGCGCAAGCGAAGCUCUUGAUCGAAGCCCCGGUAAACGGCGGCCGUAACUAUAACGGUCCUAAGGUAGCGAAAUUCCUUGUCGGGUAAGUUCCGACCUGCACGAAUGGCGUAAUGAUGGCCAGGCUGUCUCCACCCGAGACUCAGUGAAAUUGAACUCGCUGUGAAGAUGCAGUGUACCCGCGGCAAGACGGAAAGACCCCGUGAACCUUUACUAUAGCUUGACACUGAACAUUGAGCCUUGAUGUGUAGGAUAGGUGGGAGGCUUGGAAGUGUGGACGCCAGUCUGCAUGGAGCCGACCUUGAAAUACCACCCUUUAAUGUUUGAUGUUCUAACGUUGACCCGUAAUCCGGGUUGCGGACAGUGUCUGGUGGGUAGUUUGACUGGGGCGGUCUCCUCCUAAAGAGUAACGGAGGAGCACGAAGGUUGGCUAAUCCUGGUCGGACAUCAGGAGGUUAGUGCAAUGGCAUAAGCCAGCUUGACUGCGAGCGUGACGGCGCGAGCAGGUGCGAAAGCAGGUCAUAGUGAUCCGGUGGUUCUGAAUGGAAGGGCCAUCGCUCAACGGAUAAAAGGUACUCCGGGGAUAACAGGCUGAUACCGCCCAAGAGUUCAUAUCGACGGCGGUGUUUGGCACCUCGAUGUCGGCUCAUCACAUCCUGGGGCUGAAGUAGGUCCCAAGGGUAUGGCUGUUCGCCAUUUAAAGUGGUACGCGAGCUGGGUUUAGAACGUCGUGAGACAGUUCGGUCCCUAUCUGCCGUGGGCGCUGGAGAACUGAGGGGGGCUGCUCCUAGUACGAGAGGACCGGAGUGGACGCAUCACUGGUGUUCGGGUUGUCAUGCCAAUGGCACUGCCCGGUAGCUAAAUGCGGAAGAGAUAAGUGCUGAAAGCAUCUAAGCACGAAACUUGCC
RNAcentral lists this ribosomal RNA (1573 nucleotides) under Escherichia coli. Its description in RNAcentral is "partial 23S ribosomal RNA". It matches the Rfam family "Bacterial large subunit ribosomal RNA", at positions 1241 to 2798 of the family's 2925-position model. Lineage: Bacteria; Pseudomonadati; Pseudomonadota; Gammaproteobacteria; Enterobacterales; Enterobacteriaceae. The record is from RNAcentral.